Molecule: long non-coding RNA, 1142 nt
Organism: Oryza sativa Japonica Group (Japanese rice)
Lineage: Eukaryota; Viridiplantae; Streptophyta; Magnoliopsida; Poales; Poaceae
Source: RefSeq, a predicted model, not a curated record
ACGCGUUGAUUUACAACAACUCCAACAUUUCGAAUCAAAGGUGGGGGUAGCUUAGCAAUGGUAGCAUGAUGGGCCGCAGGAAAUGGCGGGAAAGAUAACGAGGAACAUAUCCUGCGCCCUUUCCGAUAAUGGAAAAAAAGAGACCAAAAUGGGCUCGCAGGAUCGGAUCGGAUAGCAGAUCGGUCGGUGGUCAGCUCAUCCAAUCCAAUUUCUCUUUAAUUCUGCAACUGCGAUCGCUUUCAGUGUCAACUUUUGCAGGGUAUAAAUCGGGCAACGGACGGAGAUCUUGCCAGCCCAAAUCAGGAAAGUUUCUCAGCGAGCUAGCAGCUAUAGCUUAGCUGGAGAUCGAUCGAGAGGUAGAAGAAGAAGAAGAAGAAGAAGAAGAAGAAGAAGAAGAAGAAGAAGAAGAAGAAGAAGAAGAAGAAGAGAGGCCUCGCAUGGCGAUGAGAGCUCGCAUCUGGUAGCCAAGGAUGACUUGCCUGUGUCUCUGCUCAUGUGCAGUAGAAGAAGAUGCAUUUCUAGCUGCUUUCUGCAUAUGUGAUCUCACAGGCAGUCUCCUUGGCUAGCCUGAGCGGCUCUCAUCCUUCAUGCCUGGCUCAUCUCUUCUUAAUGAUCUCUUAUUAGUCACAGAUCCUGUAGAGAUUAGUUGAUGUUUGAUGCUUGUCCACUUCAGUGCCACACAUAAACAUAGCGGCCGUGAUCAACUGAUCAGUCCAGCCUGACAGAGAAUUCAGAGAGCAUGACAAGAUCAGCUUCUGACAAACCGCGCGAGAUUAACCAACAAAUGCAGGCAAGAUCAAGACUACAGCGGUGCGUGCUUCCUGAACUGCCUGUGGACGAAGACGAACAGACAAAGCUAGUGAUCGAUCGAUGCUCUGACGACAGCCACUCCUGCAGGCUGCAGCUUAUGCACUGGUGCAUCUGCUAGAUAGAGCCUAGGAGAGUAGGAGGAUGCACUUACAGAGAGACAGAAUGUGUUGUUCUCUGCUUAAUUUGUUAGUUACCACACUGUUUAAUUCCUCUGUUCAAUGGGAAACUUCGUUUAGGGUGUGUUUAGUUAACGCUAAAAUUAAAAGUUUGAUUGAAAUUGGAACGAUGUGAUGGAAAAGUUGGAAGUUUAAAGAAAAAAGUUGAGGACUAAA